UUCAGACGACUCCAGACUUCAACCAGGGAGUUACUGUGCUGUGUGUGCACCAAACUCUUCCUAAUCAUUUUAGAAUAACAAGCACUCAUUCUGUUUAGUGGAGAGGAUGUCUGUAAAGUGACUUGUUUUUUUUUUUUUUAUGGUCACACUGCUCUGAACUGCCUUUAGCCUUAUAUUCUGUAGCCCAUGUGCUUCAAAACCACAUUUCUGAGCUGCAGAACCUUAGUUAGCUGAGUAAGAACUUAGAUGUUAGUACUGAGUUCAGCUCUAUUUGUCUAAGUAAAUGGGACAGGAGGAAGCUGUAACUGAGCAUAGAAUACUUCAGGGACCAGGCACACUGAGAAGCUCUUAGAAGGAGGUAGUUCCUCAGACUGGACAAAGGGCCUUGGUGACCCUGUCAGGAUGUAUGUGCGUGAGUUUGCUGGAGAAAAUGGUCCACAGCCCUGACCAAACACUGUGAGCCAUGGGUUUCAGAGGUGGUGGUAGCAGCCAGCAUGGGAACAGGGAUUAUGCCCAUUUUUAAUUUUGUUGAUUUUACAGAGCUAGAAAAAAAAUUUAGUUUGCUAAUUCCCACAGGAAAACACCCUCAGUGAGCACUGUCAUCACAGUGGUGACCUAACACUGAAGAAACCACAGACAAGGGCAUGAGGGGACCCCACAAAAGGCUCACAGUAGCAAAUGUCGGGGUACUAGAGGACCUGAUACUUUUUGGAAGCAACCAUUUUUAUUUCCAGUUAUAAUCCCUAAAAAUUUAUAACUGAUAAAUACAGUAACACAGGGAACAAAGAUACUUAAGUUAAAUCUAAGUUAAAGUGUUUUCAAAGUUUAAAAAUGGGCAAAAUGAACAUCAACAGAGGCAGAAACUUGUGGAAUAUUGUAAGAAAACCACUUUGUUCAGGUGGUAUUUGAAUUGGGUACUGCAUCUCAAGACAUGCACCUACCAAGCUUGCUCAAAAUGAUUUUUUUUUUUUGGUAGGGUCAACAGUUUUUCAACAGCCACAACAAUAACCACUCAAAGGCAGAAUAUAAAUAUUUAAAUAUGCGUGGGAGCUGAAUGGAUGGCUCAGUACUUGAGAGAACGCACUGCUCUUGCUGAGGACGUGGGUUCAGUUCCCAGGACCUCUAGCAGGGGGUUUACAACCUUCUGGAACUCUAGCUCCAGGGGAUCUGGCGCCCCCUUCUGGAAUCCAUGAGCACCUGUACUCAAAAUGUUCCUGUACCCACCCCACCCACACACACAUACACAUAAUUAACAGUAAAAUAUAUUUAAAUAUACUUAGGAAGCUGAAUGAUGGGGCCAUGGAAUAUCUCCUUCCAUUUUUGUAAUGCUUUAAGAGUCUAUAAUUAUUCCAAAAUAAAAGGAUUUUCAAAAAGC
This 1375-nucleotide long non-coding RNA is filed under the name Mus musculus (house mouse). RNAcentral describes it as "long non-coding RNA chr13:92854940-92856315". The record is from RNAcentral. Lineage: Eukaryota; Metazoa; Chordata; Mammalia; Rodentia; Muridae.